GAGGAAAAGAAACUAACAAGGAUUCCCCUAGUAACUGCGAGUGAAGCGGGAAAAGCUCAAAUUUAAAAUCUGGUAGUCUUUGGCUGCCCGAGUUGUAAUCUAGAGAAGCAUUAUCCGCGCUGGACCGUGUACAAGUGUCCUGGAAUGGACUAUCAUAGAGGGUGAGAAUCCCGUCUUUGACACGGACUCCCAGGGCUUUGUGAUGUGCUCUCAAAGAGUCGAGUUGUUUGGGAAUGCAGCUCUAAAUGGGUGGUAAAUUCCAUCUAAAGCUAAAUAUUGGCGAGAGACCGAUAGCGAACAAGUACCGUGAGGGAAAGAUGAAAAGAACUUUGGAAAGAGAGUUAAACAGUACGUGAAAUUGCUGAAAGGGAAACGCUUGAAGUCAGUCGCGUCGGCUGGGGAUCAACCUUGCUUCUUGCUUGGCUUACUUCCCAGUUGACGGGUCAGCAUCAGUUUUGACCAGUGGAUAAAGGUCAAGGGAAUGUGGCACCUCCGGGUGUGUUAUAGCCCUUGGUCAUAUACAUUGGUUGGGACUGA
This 537-nucleotide ribosomal RNA is filed under the name Termitomyces clypeatus. Its description in RNAcentral is "eukaryotic LSU rRNA". It matches the Rfam family "Eukaryotic large subunit ribosomal RNA", at positions 53 to 589 of the family's 3401-position model. Lineage: Eukaryota; Fungi; Basidiomycota; Agaricomycetes; Agaricales; Lyophyllaceae. The record is from RNAcentral.